This 492-nucleotide ribosomal RNA is filed under the name uncultured bacterium. Its description in RNAcentral is "partial 16S ribosomal RNA". It matches the Rfam family "Bacterial small subunit ribosomal RNA", at positions 29 to 507 of the family's 1533-position model. The record is from RNAcentral.
AGUGAACGCUGGCGGUAGGCCUAACACAUGCAAGUCGAACGGCAGCACAGUAAGAGCUUGCUCUUACGGGUGGCGAGUGGCGGACGGGUGAGGAAUACAUCGGAAUCUACUUUUUCGUGGGGGAUAACGUAGGGAAACUUACGCUAAUACCGCAUACGACCUACGGGUCAAAGCAGGGGAUCUUCGGACCUUGCGCGAUUGAAUGAGCCGAUGUCGGAUUAGCUAGUUGGCGGGGUAAAGGCCCACCAAGGCGACGAUCCGUAGCUGGUCUGAGAGGAUGAUCAGCCACACUGGAACUGAGACACGGUCCAGACUCCUACGGGAGGCAGCAGUGGGGAAUAUUGGACAAUGGGCGCAAGCCUGAUCCAGCCACACCGCGUGGGUGAAGAAGGCCUUCGGGUUGUAAAGCCCUUUUGUUGGGAAAGAAAAGCAGCAGGUUAAUACCCCGCUGUUCUGACGGUACCCAAAGAAUAAGCACCGGCUAACUUCGUG